This 928-nucleotide ribosomal RNA is filed under the name uncultured Chloroflexota bacterium. RNAcentral describes it as "bacterial SSU rRNA". It matches the Rfam family "Bacterial small subunit ribosomal RNA", at positions 28 to 896 of the family's 1533-position model. Lineage: Bacteria; Bacillati; Chloroflexota. The record is from RNAcentral.
AAUAAACGCUGGUGGCGUGUUUUAUACAUGCAAGUCGAGCGGAGAUUAGCUCGCGGUUAGAGGAGAUUUAUCUGUAGUCUCUAUGGAUGAUGAUUCUUUGACUCAGGCUAAUCUUAGCGGCGGACGGGUGAGUAACGCGUGGAUAAUCUACCCCUGAGUGGGGAAUAACUUUCCGAAAGGGAUGCUAAUACCGCAUAAUGUUAUUCCACCUCGGUAGGAUAACCAAAGUUAGACUCUUUGAGUCUUUCGCUCAGGGAUGAAUCCGCGUUCUAUUAGCUAGUUGGUGAGGUAACGGCCCACCAAGGCGACGAUGGGUAGCCGGCCCGAGAGGGUGUUCGGCCACACUGGGACUGAGACACGGCCCAGACUCCUACGGGAGGCAGCAGUAGGGAAUCUUCCGCAAUGGGCGAAAGCCUGACGGAGCAACGCCACGUGGACGAUGAAGGCCUUCGGGUCGUAAAGUCCUGUCAGAGGGGACGAUGGUUGAUCUUCGGAUUGACUGACGGUACCCCCAGAGGAAGCUCCGGCCCAACUACGUGCCAGCAGCCGCGGUAAUACGUAGGGAGCAAGCGUUAUUCGGAUUUACUGGGCGUAAAGAGUGCGUAGGCGGUUGGGUAAGUCAAGGGUGAAAUCUUUGCUCUCAAGGCAGAAACUGCCCUUGAUACUACCCGACUCGAGGACAGGAGAGGGAAGUGGAACUCUGGAAGUAGCGGUGAAAUGCGUAGAUAUCCAGAGGAACGCCAGUGGCGAAGGCGGCUUCCUGGUCUGUCCCUGACGCUGAGGCACGAAAGCUAGGGGAGCGAUCGGGAUUAGAGACCCCGGUAGUCCUAGCCGUAAACGAUGGGUACUAAGUGUGGGGGGAGCAUUACUCUCCGUGCUGAAGCUAACGCGUUAAGUACCCCGCCUGGGGAGUACGGUCGCAAGACUG